UUCUGAAAUAUUCUUUAAUUUCUUCCCCUUUAGGGUUUAUCACAGAUGUUUGCUCCCCCUUAAUACAGCAAUUAUUAACAGCAAACAACAACAAAGAGAAGACAAUAUUUCAACAAGGAGAAUAUAUAUAACCAAAAUAUGAUCGACAUCAUUACAAAAGGUAGAAAUAUAAGUAAAAGAUGAUUCCAUAAAACCAUAAUUGUUUCAAUACAUAGUUUAUUAAUAUAAAAGUCAACCAGCCAAUUGUCAAUACAUGGCCCCAAAAUACAGAUCCUAGAACAAGACACUAAUACCUAGGAUCUAGUAAAGAUCAUGAGAAGUCAUGGAUCGGAGUCAUCAGAUAUGGGAUGAGAAGCUGAUGGAUCAGAAGUGCAUCCUCUACCCCGUCUGCCUCUGGCACGAGCAGGAGAGCGAGAUGAACUGGGAGGCUGAGAACGCUGAGAGGCUAAGGACUAAACAGAAAGGGUGAGUCUGAUGGAAUCAAGUACGUUCAGUGCUCUGAAAACAGACUGAAGUAGAGCAGUGAACUGAGUGGUUGCAUGCUCACUCGAUCCUCGGAUCUCUUUCCUCAGUAACUCAUAUCCACCCUCUAGUGCUCCUCUGAGUCUGCCAGCCUCUGCAGUGAGGUCUGUGACCUCAAUAGUGGACUCCUGUGGCUGAGGAUGGGCCAAAGCAAGGACUUGCCUCUGCAAGUCAAGAACUCUGCCAGUCAGUCUCCAGACAGUGUCCUCAAGCUGCUGAAUCCGAAUGGACUGAUCUGAUAUCAUCUGAAACAUAGUGGAUAUGUGGGGAGUCAUGGUCUGAUCAGAAGAAGU
RNAcentral lists this long non-coding RNA (815 nucleotides) under Elaeis guineensis (African oil palm). RNAcentral's name for it is "long non-coding RNA (EGUI_LNC034732)". The record is from RNAcentral. Lineage: Eukaryota; Viridiplantae; Streptophyta; Magnoliopsida; Arecales; Arecaceae.